ACUCAAAGGAAUUGACGGGGGUCCGCACAAGCGGUGGAACAUGUGGUUUAAUUCGACACUACGCGAGGAACCUUACCUGGGUUUGACAUGUAAUCGCUACUGGUGGAAACAUUGGGUUUCGUAGUAAUACGAACGGUUACACAGGUGCUGCAUGGCUGUCGUCAGCUCGUGUCGUGAGACGUCGGGUUAAGUCCUUGAACGAGCGCAACCCUUGCCGUUAGUUGCUUACCGAAAGGUGGCACUCUAGCGGGACUGCCUUGGAAACAAGGAGGAAGGUGGGGAUGACGUCAAGUCCUCAUGGCCCUUAUGCCCAGGGCUACACACGUGUUACAAUGGCGAGGAACAAAGGGAAGCAGAGCCGCGAGGUGAAGCAAAUCCCAUAAAAUUCGUCUAAGUUCGGAUUGUAGUCUGCAACUCGACUACAUGAAGCUGAAAUCGCUAGUAAUCGCAUAUCAGAACGAUGCGGUGAAUACGUUCUCGGACCUUGUACACACCGCCCGU
This 501-nucleotide ribosomal RNA is filed under the name uncultured bacterium. RNAcentral describes it as "partial 16S ribosomal RNA". It matches the Rfam family "Bacterial small subunit ribosomal RNA", at positions 899 to 1397 of the family's 1533-position model. The record is from RNAcentral.